Molecule: ribosomal RNA, 588 nt
Filed under: Klebsiella pneumoniae
Lineage: Bacteria; Pseudomonadati; Pseudomonadota; Gammaproteobacteria; Enterobacterales; Enterobacteriaceae
Also listed under: 1 other name
Description: partial 23S ribosomal RNA
Rfam family: Bacterial large subunit ribosomal RNA
Source: RNAcentral
UGGUGGGUAGUUUGACUGGGGCGGUCUCCUCCCAAAGCGUAACGGAGGAGCACGAAGGUUAGCUAAUCCUGGUCGGACAUCAGGAGGUUAGUGCAAUGGCAUAAGCUAGCUUGACUGCGAGCGUGACGGCGCGAGCAGGUGCGAAAGCAGGUCAUAGUGAUCCGGUGGUUCUGAAUGGAAGGGCCAUCGCUCAACGGAUAAAAGGUACUCCGGGGAUAACAGGCUGAUACCGCCCAAGAGUUCAUAUCGACGGCGGUGUUUGGCACCUCGAUGUCGGCUCAUCACAUCCUGGGGCUGAAGUAGGUCCCAAGGGUAUGGCUGUUCGCCAUUUAAAGUGGUACGCGAGCUGGGUUUAGAACGUCGUGAGACAGUUCGGUCCCUAUCUGCCGUGGGCGCUGGAGAAUUGAGGGGGGCUGCUCCUAGUACGAGAGGACCGGAGUGGACGCAUCACUGGUGUUCGGGUUGUCAUGCCAAUGGCACUGCCCGGUAGCUAAAUGCGGAAGAGAUAAGUGCUGAAAGCAUCUAAGCACGAAACUUGCCCCGAGAUGAGUUCUCCCUGAGACUUUAAGUCUCCUGAAGGAACGUUAA